Talpa occidentalis (Iberian mole) is the source of this 683-nucleotide long non-coding RNA. RefSeq lists it as uncharacterized. The record is from RefSeq and is a predicted model, not a curated record. The transcript is spliced from 3 exons. NCBI's taxonomy places the organism in Eukaryota, Metazoa, Chordata, Mammalia, Eulipotyphla, Talpidae.
AUAAACUCUUCCAGUGCCCCCGGGACUUCCAAGAUGUUUGGAAUGAGGAACAGUGAGAUCUGGGAGAAGGUUUCUUUACUCUCUCCUUUCCUGGGCCAAUCGUGUAUCUGCCAAUCAUGGACUGCCAUGGUGAUGGACUGGUCAGAACUUCAGUUUCUUUUGCUGAACCCAAGCCUGAGGGAAAGCUCAGCCAGAGCACCACGGGAAAACAUGCUGUGUGCUGCAAGAGAGCCUUUCGCAAAGACAUCUGUCCUUCAGCUGAGGGCCACCAAUGGCAAGGAGAGCCCUGUUUGCUUCUCAGCUGGGAGAUGGAAAAAAGUGAAGAGGACUACAGAGAAAAAUAAGAACUACACAUUUGGACUUGAGAAAGGAGGGGGCAUCAUCAUUAAGAGGACCCACUUGGUUAAAAAGUCCAGAGUGAAGGAUCUAGAAACUAGUGGACAUCAUCAGAGACUAAGAUAUGGAUCUAACGAGAAGGUGGGCCCAUCAUCCCUGGAAAAGAUUCCUGGGGUGGUGUGCGAAAGCGGAUCAUAACGUUGCAUACUUUUAUAAAUUCACCACCCCUUCUGGUCAGCUACUGGGGAAUAAAGGACAGAGAGGAUACCCAGGUAAGGAUUCCAUUAUCUUAAGAAUAAAAGGCUGGAUAUAAACAUUGAUGCUAAUGUACCACUUUUGAAAUACUU